UACAGAGGGUGCGAGCGUUAAUCGGAAUUACUGGGCGUAAAGGGUGCGUAGGUGGUUAUUUAAGUCAGAUGUGAAAUCCCUAGGCUUAACCUAGGAAUUGCGUUUGAGACUGGCUAGCUAGAGUGCAGUAGAGGGAAGUGGAAUUUCCGGUGUAGCGGUGAAAUGCGUAGAUAUCGGAAGGAACAUCAGUGGCGAAGGCGACUUCCUGGACUGUAACUGACACUGAGGCACGAAAGCGUGGGGAGCGAACAGG
This 253-nucleotide ribosomal RNA is filed under the name uncultured bacterium. RNAcentral describes it as "partial 16S ribosomal RNA". It matches the Rfam family "Bacterial small subunit ribosomal RNA", at positions 524 to 776 of the family's 1533-position model. The record is from RNAcentral.